CAGCAGCCACGGGAAUACGGAGGGUGCAAGCGUUAUCCGGAUUCACUGGGUUUAAAGGGUGCGUAGGCGGGCAGGUAAGUCAGUGGUGAAAUCUUCGAGCUUAACUCGGAAACUGCCGUUGAUACUAUCUGUCUUGAAUAACGUUGAGGUGAGCGGAAUAUGUCAUGUAGCGGUGAAAUGCUUAGAUAUGACAUAGAACACCGAUUGCGAAGGCAGCUCACUAAACGCUCAUUGACGCUGAGGCACGAAAGCGUGGGGAUCAAACAGGAUUAGAUACCCCGGUAGUCCCUGUCUCUUAUAC
RNAcentral lists this ribosomal RNA (301 nucleotides) under uncultured bacterium. RNAcentral's name for it is "partial 16S ribosomal RNA". It matches the Rfam family "Bacterial small subunit ribosomal RNA", at positions 509 to 807 of the family's 1533-position model. The record is from RNAcentral.